Molecule: ribosomal RNA, 505 nt
Filed under: Heptagenia flavescens
Lineage: Eukaryota; Metazoa; Arthropoda; Insecta; Ephemeroptera; Heptageniidae
Description: partial 16S ribosomal RNA
Rfam family: Bacterial large subunit ribosomal RNA
Source: RNAcentral
CUUGCGAAAUAUAAGAGGUCUCACCUGCCCACUGAAAGUUAAAGGGCCGCGGUAUUUUGACCGUGCAAAGGUAGCAUAAUCAUUAGUCUUCUAAUUAAAGGCUGGAAUGAAUGGUUGGACGAGGUAUUAGCUGUCUCUUUGAAAUUAAUUUGAAUUUAACUUUCUAGUGAAAAGGCUGGAAUGAUAUUGGAGGACGAGAAGACCCUAUAGAGCUUUAUAGUUGAUUCUAUUUUAAUUUGUUUAGUAAGAGUUUAAUUUUGUAGGAGAAGUAUUUCGUUGGGGUGACGGGAAGAUAAGAUAAACUCUUCUUAAAGUUUGAACAUGGAUGCAUGGUUCAUUUGAUCCAUUAUUAAUGAUUAAAAGACUAAGUUACCUUAGGGAUAACAGCGUAAUCUUUUUUGAGAGUUCUAAUCGACAAAAAGGGUUGCGACCUCGAUGUUGGACUAAAGGUUAUUCUUGGGUGCAGCAGCUCAAGGUUUAGGUCUGUUCGACCUUUGAAUCUUUA